CCUACGGGUGGCAGCAGUGAGGAAUAUUGGUCAAUGGGCGCGAGCCUGAACCAGCCAAGUAGCGUGAAGGAUGACUGCCCUACGGGUUGUAAACUUCUUUUAUCAAGGAAUAAAGUCAGGCACGUGUGCCUUUUUGUAUGUACUUUAUGAAUAAGGAUCGGCUAACUCCGUGCCAGCAGCCGCGGUAAUACGGAGGAUCCGAGCGUUAUCCGGAUUUAUUGGGGUUAAAGGGAGCGUAGAUGGGUUGUUAAGUCAGUUGUGAAAGUUUGGGGCGCAACCGUAGAAUUGCAGUUGAUACUGGCAGUCUUGAGUACAGUUGAGGUAGGCGGAAUGCGUGGUGUAGCGGUGAAAUGCAGAGAUAUCGCGAAGAACUCCGAUUGCGAAGGCAGCUUACUAACCUGCCACUGACAUUGAUGCUCGAAAGUGUGGGUAUCGAACAGGAUUAGAUACCCGAGUAGUC
RNAcentral lists this ribosomal RNA (460 nucleotides) under uncultured bacterium. Its description in RNAcentral is "partial 16S ribosomal RNA". It matches the Rfam family "Bacterial small subunit ribosomal RNA", at positions 338 to 795 of the family's 1533-position model. The record is from RNAcentral.